RNAcentral lists this ribosomal RNA (253 nucleotides) under uncultured bacterium. Its description in RNAcentral is "partial 16S ribosomal RNA". It matches the Rfam family "Bacterial small subunit ribosomal RNA", at positions 524 to 776 of the family's 1533-position model. The record is from RNAcentral.
UACGUAGGGGGCAAGCGUUGUCCGGAAUCAUUGGGCGUAAAGAGCGCGUAGGCGGCCCUGUAAGUCCGCUGUAAAAGUCCAGGGCUCAACCCUGGAAAGCCGGUGGAUACUGUCGGGCUCGAGUCCGGAAGAGGCGAGUGGAAUUCCUGGUGUAGCGGUGGAAUGCGCAGAUAUCAGGAGGAACACCGGUGGCGAAGGCGGGUCUCUGGGCCGUAACUGACGCUGAGGAGCGAAAGCAUGGGGAGCGAACAGG